This 70-nucleotide transfer RNA is filed under the name Candidatus Pacearchaeota archaeon CG10_big_fil_rev_8_21_14_0_10_34_76. RNAcentral describes it as "tRNA-Arg". It matches the Rfam family "tRNA". From Rfam's summary of the family: Transfer RNA (tRNA) molecules are approximately 80 nucleotides in length. Their secondary structure includes four short double-helical elements and three loops (D, anti-codon, and T loops). Lineage: Archaea; Nanobdellati. The record is from RNAcentral.
CCCUGUAGCUCAGCCUGGAUAGAGCGAUGCCCUCCUAAGGCAUAGGUCGCAGGUUCAAAUCCUGUCGGGG